This 447-nucleotide ribosomal RNA is filed under the name uncultured bacterium. Its description in RNAcentral is "partial 16S ribosomal RNA". It matches the Rfam family "Bacterial small subunit ribosomal RNA", at positions 29 to 523 of the family's 1533-position model. The record is from RNAcentral.
AACGAACGCUGGCGGCAGGCUUAACACAUGCAAGUCGAGCGCCCCGCAAGGGGAGCGGCAGACGGGUGAGUAACGCGUGGUAAUCUACCCAUCACUACGGAACAACCCCGGGAAACUGGAGCUAAUACCGUAUACGUCCUUCGGGAGAAAGAUUUAUCGGUGAUGGAUGAGCCCGCGUUGGAUUAGCUAGUUGGUGGGGUAAUGGCCUACCAAGGCGACGAUCCAUAGCUGGUCUGAGAGGAUGAUCAGCCACACUGGGACGGAGACACGGCCCAGACUCCUACGGGAGGCAGCAGUGGGGAAUAUUGGACAAUGGGCGAAAGCCUGAUCCAGCCAUGCCGCGUGAGUGAUGACGGCCCUAGGGUUGUAAAGCUCUUUCGCAGGUGAAGAUAAUGACGGUAACCUGAGAAGAAGCCCCGGCUAACUUCGUGCCAGCAGCCGCCGUAA